GGGGCUGUGGCUCCGUGUUGGAGCAUCUGCUUGGCAUGCAGAAGGUGCCGAGUUCAAUUCCCAUCAUCUCCA
Molecule: transfer RNA, 72 nt
Filed under: Sphaerodactylus townsendi
Lineage: Eukaryota; Metazoa; Chordata; Lepidosauria; Squamata; Sphaerodactylidae
Description: tRNA-Ala
Rfam family: tRNA
About the family: Transfer RNA (tRNA) molecules are approximately 80 nucleotides in length.
Source: RNAcentral